RNAcentral lists this ribosomal RNA (330 nucleotides) under uncultured bacterium. RNAcentral describes it as "bacterial SSU rRNA". It matches the Rfam family "Bacterial small subunit ribosomal RNA", at positions 153 to 478 of the family's 1533-position model. The record is from RNAcentral.
GAAAGAUUAGUUAAUACCGCAUACGACCUGAGGGUGAAAGUGGGGGACCGCAAGGCCUCACGCAGCAGGAGCGGCCGAUGUCUGAUUAGCUAGUUGGUGGGGUAAAGGCCCACCAAGGCGACGAUCAGUAGCUGGUCUGAGAGGACGAUCAGCCACACUGGGACUGAGACACGGCCCAGACUCCUACGGGAGGCAGCAGUGGGGAAUUUUGGACAAUGGGGGCAACCCUGAUCCAGCAAUGCCGCGUGUGUGAAGAAGGCCUUCGGGUUGUAAAGCACUUUUGUCCGGAAAGAAAUCGCGCUGGUUAAUACCUGACGUGGAUGACGGUAC